AACUUGUUUGAAAACAUUAACUCCCCAAAACUGAACAAUAAACAGCAACGUAGUUUAGAAGGCGAACUUAACUACAAUGAAGUAUUACGAUCCUUGAAAAAAUUAAAAAACGGAAAAAGCCCUGGGCCUUCAGGGUUCACAGUCGAAUUUUACAAAUUCUUUUGGCUAGUUUUACAUAAAUACUUGAUACGAUCGCUUAAUUUUGGCUAUAAUAAUGGCUCACUGUCAGUAAGCCAGACGCAAGGCCUAAUAACCUGUUUCCCCAAAAGAACAAAUCAAAACAGCAUCUAAAAAAUUGGAGCCCGAUAUCCCUAUUAAAUGUCUUCUAUAAGAUAGCUUCUUCAGCAAUCGCAAAUAGAAUUAAAACAGUAUUACCCGAAAUAAUAAACGAAGAAAAAGGUUUUAUAACAAACAGAUAUAUUGGAGAAUGCACAAGACUCGUCUAGGAUAUAAUGGAUUAUACGGAAUGCAUGGAAAUACCUGGAUUGCUUUUAUCAAUUGAUUUCGAAAAAGCUUUCGACUCGGUGGACUGGAACUUUAUACAAAAUGUUUUGACUUUCUUUAACUUUCAAGCACUGGAUAGAAACAUGUUUCCGUAAUAUUAGAUCCAGCAUUCUUAUUAAUGGAUUCGGAACAGAUUUCUUUAGUAUCACAGAGGCUGCAGACAAGGUGACCCAUUAUCCCCAUAUUUAUUCGUAUUAUGCGCAGAAAUAUUAGCGAUAAUGCUACGUCACAAUGAAAAUAUCAAAGGAAUAAAAAUCGGAAACACCGAAUACCUCAUAUCACAGUUCACUGACGAUACAACGCUGAUUCUAAAUGGAAAUGAAGCCUGCGUACAGAGUGCGCUUAACACACGAGAUACGUACUCUGCUUUCUCAGGCCUUAAAAUAAACAGGAGUAAAACACAACUAUUUUGGAUAGGUUCACAACGCUCUUCAAGUGUAAUAUUAUGUACACAAUGGAAAUUAGACUGGGAAAAGAAAAGUUUCACCCUUUUAGGCAUCACCUUUACACACAACCUGGCGGAAAUGGCAUUAAGUCAAUUAUGAAUAUAUGGUUACAACGUAAUCUAACUCCAUAAGGAAGAAAUACCAUAUUAAAAAGCUAUAUCUUACCAAAACUCAACCAUCUAUUCGCGUCGCUUCCAGAUCCUAACGAUAAACUAUUUAAAGAAAUCGAAUCACUCUGCUUCGGAUUGUAGGGAAAAACAAACCCGAUAAAAUUGGCAGAAAAAUAAUUUUUCAGAACCAAAUGAUGAACGAGGACUACGAGCUCCAAACAUAAGGCGGAUAAUAUCUUCUAAAAAAAUAUCAUGGAUUAGACGACUACUGAACGCAAGACAUAUAUAAUUCAAAAACUCUUGAAUGAUUUCCUAUCAAUAACACGCGACCACCUCAUAAAUAAUGAAGAUAACCUGACAUAUAAACCAACAAAUCGAGGAACAAACCCCUUCUUGAGGGAUGUCCUGAAAUGCUGGGAGUUAUACCUAAACUCUAAAUGUGAAAAUGCCAAAAACGAAUACGAUAUCCUUUCCCAAAUUGUAUGGCACAAUAAGAACAUUAGAAUAGGAGGAAGCACCUUUGUCUAUAAACACUACUCUGAUAAGGCCAUCCACUACAUUAAUGACCUCGUUGAUAACGACGGAAAUUAUUUCAACCUUUCUUCCCUUCAGAGGAAAUAUCACAUAAAACAAACUUCCUUGAAUAUCAAGGCAUAAUUGAAUCAGUUGACUCUUAUGUUAAAAGCAAAUGCAUUAAACUUAAAUCAAAACUCCAAACACCAAUUCUGCCAUAUUUCAUCAAAGAUGUAUGUGAAACGAAAAGAGGCUGUCGUAUAUUCUAUGACACAUCAAAACACAAACCUUUUUGACAUUAAGACCAGUAAACACAUUCGGAAAUGGGAGAACAAUCUCAGAUGUACCCUGACAGAACAAGAAUGGAAAACCAUACAUUAUACACCCUUCCGCACACAUACAAACAGCAAACUACAAUGGUUUCAACACAGCAUCAUUUACAGAAUAAUACCCACGAACGACCUCCUACAUAAAAUGAAAUAUACGAACAAUAAUAAAU
Molecule: long non-coding RNA, 2072 nt
Organism: Haliotis rubra (blacklip abalone)
Lineage: Eukaryota; Metazoa; Mollusca; Gastropoda; Lepetellida; Haliotidae
Exons: 2
Source: RefSeq, a predicted model, not a curated record